Molecule: small nuclear RNA, 141 nt
Filed under: Sinocyclocheilus rhinocerous
Lineage: Eukaryota; Metazoa; Chordata; Actinopteri; Cypriniformes; Cyprinidae
Description: U4 spliceosomal RNA (ENSSRHG00000022000.1)
Rfam family: U4 spliceosomal RNA
About the family: U4 small nuclear RNA (U4 snRNA) is a component of the major U2-dependent spliceosome.
Source: Rfam by way of RNAcentral
AGUUUUGCGCAGUGGCAGUAUCGUAGCCUAUGAAGUUUAUCCGAUGCGCGAUUAUUGCUAAUUGGAAACUUUACCAAAUACCCAGUCAUAACGACUUGAAAUAUAGUCGGCAUUGGCAAUUUUUGAUGGUCUUUACGGAGA